UGGGAUUUAUGUUCAUAUAGCAAUUUGAGAGGCACAGUUUUAUAGUGUCUCUAGAGACCUUAAUCAUUUUUCUGCCAUGUCUCUUUCAUACAGUCAGAUACUGACAGUGCAAUACAUAUUUUGGAAAACAACACUGGAGCAGGUUUUUCAGAUGGUGUGCUGUUUCUGUCAAAUUUACUUGAAAGCUGUUUUAUAUAUGUUUUGUUUCUCCUGGAACCAGCUAUGGAGUUUCCAAUUAGAUUUCUUAGUUAGGGUGUGAGAAACUAAGGUUUUUUGGUGGAGGGAAGCCCCUCAGAUAGUAAUACCCACCACAUUUGGGGAUCACUGUACAGUAGAUCCAUUCUACGUGUGGAUGACCUCCUCUGACCACAUCUAAUGAAAAACCACACCAUUUCUGGCUUUUGAGUGGAAGCAGAUAUAGCUAGGUUGGGCCAGCUACAAAUGAUAUAAUAAUGAUUGUUGCUGUCCUAGAGUGGACAUUACUUGACAUGCUAAUCAUGUUUCUGGGGAUACUUUCUACAGACUAAUCAUGCAAUUUUGAAGCCUUUAUUAUUGCAGUUUCCUUUUUUUCUGGUUGCAAUUUUAUGGUUAUAGAAUGAUAACUUUAGCAAAGAUAAUAAUCUAGUGACACUGAAUAUGGAACUAGAAUUUAAGUCGUCUGACUCUGAGCUCUGUAUAGGUGCAGCUCUGAGAUUUAAGACUUAUACAUGCUCAAGGCCCUAGGUUCAACUCCCAGCACCACACACACAUGCGCACAUGCACGCAUACACACACACACACAAGAUUAUAUUUGAGCAACAACCAAAGAGCAUAAUGGUGUUAUUUUUUAACAAAGUAGAUAAAUGCUGUAUUAUUUUGAUUCUUUCAUGGCCUUGUAACUUCAUACCAUUGCCUGUAUAACUGUGUCUCAGGAUUUGUCAUAAUCUAUAUUAAAAGUAACCUGAGAGAUGUUACUUUGAGAUGUUACAUAUCGAAUUCCAACAUUUUAAUGCAUUAUAAGUAAUAUGGAUUUUGUUUCUCUGUAGGCUCAAAGCCUAACUCCCCAGGACUAUAAUCUGAGGUGGUCAGGCCUUUUGGUGACAGUGGGCGAAGUUCUGGAAAAGAGUUUACUGAAUGUCAGCCGGACUGAUUGGCACAUGGCUUUUACUGGCAUGUCUCGUCGACAGAUGAUCUACAGUGCUGCCAAAGCAAUUGCAGGCAUGUAUAAACAGCGCCUGCCCCUUAGGACCAUGUGAGGGAAGACCUGUCUAGGAUACUGAGACUUUCUUCACUUUUAGCUUGAUGUCGUUAUACCUUCUUGAAUAGUUUCAAUGAAUUUAACAGUUUUGUAAUUUUCCUGUAGGCUGUAAUUUUUUUUUCUAGAGAGGCAUGUUAUCAUUCCAAUAGAAGAAAAGAAAUAGAUCCUUUUUAUAAUCAUAUAAUUAUGCAUAUAGUUCUCAGAAAAAAAUAUACAAAUAUAUUUAUAGCACAGUUUAAUAUACCAAAUUCAUAUAGUGGAAAUUCAUGUGCAAAGACAUUUAAUUUAAAGAUGUGUACUUGAUUGUUUUGUUUUUAAAGAAGACAUAGUUAAUUAAGGAACAUGUCUAUUGAAUAUUCUUUAAAAACAUUGUUCUUUUUGUUUUUUUGUAUGUGCACAUGGCCUCAGGUCUGAUGGAGAGCAGCUUGCUCAACAAUUUACCUUAGGACACCUACUUGUAUUUAGAGAGAUGUCACACAUUUUUAUGCAUGUUUUAUACAAAGUGAGCCAAAUACAGAAUUGAUCAUUUCUGUCUAGUCAUCAUGUACACAUACAAUCUGGAAAGUCAUCCUUGUUUCCUUUUUUUUAAAAAACUAAGUUUUGGCAUUUUAUAGAUUUAUACUAUGAACAUUGGGUAAUACAUUUUAUUUUUUCAUUGCUAUAUGACAACUAAAGGGCGAAUAAUUUGAGUAUAUUUUAGAUCAGAGUAUUCAUAUUAUUUUUGUAUAAUACUUUUCAGUACUUCCAAGAAUAAAUUCUGACAGUGGCCAUUUUAUGUGCUUCCACCCAUUCUCCAAACUUUUACAAAAGACAUUUUUGAGAGGUGAUUACUUUAUUGCCUAUGAGAGGGUAUGCCUCAGAUUUUAAGUAUGGUUGCUUCUUCUUUCAUUUGCCUUAAGCACAACUUUUCUAACUGCCAUUCUGCCUUUAUUUUUUAUGGAAAUUUUCAAAUAAACUAUUUUAUAUUCAAUCUGGUUUAUUUAGUUCGUUAUGUUUGUAUUUAAUGAAAGCUUUUCCCCCCUCAAGUAAUAUAUUUUACAGUUGGGAUUUAUAUAAAUAAAAAUUAAGUAAAUGUUUUUUCUUGUAUAGUUGAACUCUAUGCAACUUCAAAUAACUUUGAUAAUAGUUUCACAUAUAAACGUAAUUUUAUUUACUCUUCUAUACUGUUAUUUUGAUGUAAAAGAAUUAGCACAAUCUGGCAGUUUUAUAAAGGGUGAUGAAGGUUGUAUCCUGCACUGUCUUCAUAUGUAAGGUUUGCUUUGUGUUAAUGUUAUUUAAAGUAAUUAUUUCAUUUUCCCCCCUUUUUUUACUUGAGAGUGAGAAGAAUUAAGUAUUCAUUUUGAAACUAUAAUGUAUGUUCAUUUCUGAGCACCAUAAAGUGAAAUUCCAACUUUUAUAUCAUUCAGAGUAAUGAGAAACAGAAACAAGACAUAACAAGUUGCUGUGGUGCACUUUUGUUUGGGGUAAUAGGAUCAAAAUACAUUUUUCCCUCUUUGUGAGUGAAAAGAGAAGCCUUUUAUACUAUUUUCCUCGCUCCUUUAAGUCCAUCCUUCUCUAACAGUAUUUUAUCAGGGCUUUGGCCCCAUGACACAAACAGUCUACUGUAGACUGAAGACAAGUAUGCCCAAACUUAAAAUAUUUCUGCUACUUUCCCUCCUACUAUAGGGAAAUUUUAUAGAGCCUAAAAAUCUGAGUUUUUCUUUCCAUUUUUGUUUUCCCAAGUCUAAAACAUCUUAUUUGAUAUCAUUGAGGAUUGUUCUGAUAGAAUCACAAACAUUGCCAUUUCCUGGAAUCCUCAAAUUUCUGGAGCAGAGCUGCUCCAUGGCUAGGUUGGAGCUUGAUAGUGUUCCUGUACCUAGUUAUUGGUGAGCCUUCUGCUGCUUUCUGAACAGUAGGAGUGGGAGAGGUGGAGGAGAGAAGGGCAGAUAGAAGAGAGAAGUACAUGCUUUCGUCUGGCCUCCGUGUCCUUGGCCCAGUUCUCUGAAAGGCAAUAGAGCAUGGCUGACUCCACAUUCUCAGCUUUCCCAACCUCCUGGAAUUUCCCUUUUACAUUAUGAUCAAGGAAAGUAACUUGCUCUCUCCUAGCAGCUUAGCCAGACAGUCUUGCUGUGAUCAUCAAUCUUAAGGCCAGAGCCUCCAUCUCCUCUGUGCCUUUUCUUCUUGUCCAUUUCCUUAAUAACUCCACAAGAACAUUUUGGGAAGUUGUGAGUAGAUAGCUAUUUGCUUUUUUUCUUUCCCAAGCUUUUAGGAAAAACCUGUCUUUAACACAGUUUGUUAUCAUUAUUGUGGUAGCUUGAAAUUUUUUUUCUUCUGAAGAACCCCAGAUUAUUGAGUUUCAUGUUUUAUGUAUUUUAAUCCAAGUUGUUGAAUUCUAUAAGCUUGUACACUUAUUUAAAUUGGUGCGAGAAAAAUAGGAAAAAUGCUGAAGAUUAAUUUAACAUCAACCUCAGAUUAUUGCUCAGUUCCAGGUUUCUCCUUGUAUUUUUUUUUUUAUUGUAUUGGAUUUUUUUUCUUGUUUGUUUCUUGUUGUACUAGGGGGUAGAAUCCAGUACCUCAAGAACACUAUGGGAGCCCUCUACCACUGGGCUGUAACCCCACGCCCCUAUUGAGUUUUUGAGACACCCAUGGACCUGGCUAUGCCAUGUACUUCUUAAGUUGGAAAGGCCUUGGGUGAUGCUGGUAGUUUCAUCUUCUGAUUCUUUGUUAUUAUUGCUUUUUCAUUCUUUGUUCCUCAGUCUUUUGAGGAUUAAUGAAGUAGAAAAUUAGGAUGUAAAAAGGCAAAAAGAUAGUAUGGUAGUAAGUGUGAGUACAUUUAAGAGUAUAAAUGAAACUGUAUAAUGUAUAUCUAUUCGAAUUAUGCAAUUAGCAAUUACUCAGGGUCGACUAAAUUAACAUGCUGUUGAAUUUAUUCUGUUCCUUGGCUGGAAAAAAAAUUCAAAAUAGGACUUUGUGACUUAUGAAGCCAAAUUGAUAACAUUCUAUGUUUAAAAGUUGUUGGGUUAAACAUAAAUUAUGUGGAUUUUUACUUCUGGGACAUGGUGUUCUUUUUGUGAUAUUAUGCAGAAUCAUGUGUUAGAUAAAAUCAGUUUUGUAAGUAUGUACAUAUUACAUAAAUAAAUACUUAUUUCUCAAAGGUGUAUAGUGAUUUUUA
This 4388-nucleotide long non-coding RNA is filed under the name Marmota monax (woodchuck). Lineage: Eukaryota; Metazoa; Chordata; Mammalia; Rodentia; Sciuridae. The record is from RNAcentral.